UGACUGGGGUGAAGUCGUAACAAGGUAGCCGUAGGGGAACCUGCGGCUGGAUCACCUCCUUAAUCGACGACA
This 72-nucleotide ribosomal RNA is filed under the name Pseudomonas synxantha. RNAcentral describes it as "partial 16S ribosomal RNA". The stretch from base 1 to 62 matches the Rfam family "Bacterial small subunit ribosomal RNA", at positions 1472 to 1533 of the family's 1533-position model. Lineage: Bacteria; Pseudomonadati; Pseudomonadota; Gammaproteobacteria; Pseudomonadales; Pseudomonadaceae. The record is from RNAcentral. RNAcentral also lists the same sequence under 3 other names.